GCCAGAUUCUUAACCCACUGCGCCAGGCCAGGGGUCCUACCUGUGUCCCAUAAUUUGGUAUUGCCUAUUUGGGGUAAAGUGAACCCUGGCAUAGAAUCCAAGCCAAUUCAAGUUUAUCAAGAUAUUCACUGGAUUUUUUGUGCUAAGUAAUAUUACAAGAUACAUCAAAAUAGUAGUUUUUCUACCAUUAAGAAAUGAGUUUCUUACAAACUACAGUUGUACAUAAUCUAGGUUUGGCUACCAUUACUCAUGUCUGGCUUCCUUUAGUAAUGACAAACAUUUACUGAAAGCCUACUAUAUGUGAGACAUUUCUCUAAAUGUUUUCAUAUCCUAUUUCUCUGAACUGGCACAUCUUUGAGAGGUGGGUAUUAUAAUCCCCAUGUAACAAAGGUGGAAACAGUCUUUUAUCAGGUUAACUUACCCAAAAUCAUAGGGCUAUUAGUGUGGCAAUGCAGAGAAUCUUCUAAAUGGCAGAAUUCCACACACUACAGUGAGCCGCAGUGAAUUAUUUUAAGUAUCUAUUUGGGCAAGGGACAACAGACAAAAGGCCCAACUUAAGAAAAUGUCCUGCUCAAAUGUCCCAAUUCCCCAGCCAUUUUCACGCUGCCUUGCUUCAUUCUUCCUUCCUUCCUCGGCUUUCAAUUCUACAGAUGCUAAGGGUUUCUGACAGUCUUCAUAAAAACAACAGCAGGUUAUGUGCUGUAUGACACCAGAGGGGAUUUUUUAAAAAAAAUCUCUUUGUGCUUUGUAGGAAUUCCCCUGGGGUCUACAGUGUGCAUGAAACUCUGGGCCCUACAGGAGUGUUACAGACAGCUGCACCAGACGACGUAUGGAGAAGGAAUUUUUAGUGUACAGACAAUCCACCUGGGAAGGCAGCUAACACGUUUAAAUAUGAAAUUGUGUCCUAGAUAAAGUUAUGCCAGUUAUUUCACUUUGGAAGCUUAUUUAGAGGCUAUGGUGGUAGAGUGGGAAGGCAUAACAGGCCACUUAUUCAGCUUCUGCGUUACCUAGGAUUUCUUUUUCCAAUUAAAAACCUGCUUUAACUGCCCAAGCAAGCUGGCAACUCCUCUUAAUCAACUGCUCCAGGUGGCUAGGUUCCUUCUUCCCUUAGACGCUUUACCACUGCAACUCCUAACCCCUGGGUCUAUCUGCAUAUCCAUGCCCUUUCAGGAAGCCUUGAAAAAUAGAAUGAUCCACACAGAAUUCUUGAGAUGUGUCAUCAACGUUUUCCAACCACACAUCGUAAGAUUUGAAAUGAUUAAAGAAAAGGUAUAUAUGAGUCUUUUUAGAAGUGUAGUCUCUUUUUCCUAUCAUAGACCACUUUCCUUUUUCUACUUUCCUUGAAGUUUCUUAUAGGCCCUCAAAAUCCCAUCCUUUAAAUUAGAAAACUACUGAAAGAGAGCUAACUAAAAUAUUUAAUUUGCUAUGAUACAGCUUUAUCGCUGAAAUAUUGGUUUUUAAAGUACUUUCUCCUGGGGAAUUUUCUUGAUAUUCCCUCUGCCUUUAAUGCACUUUAAGGAUGGCUGGCUCCUUCUCUUCCCUUAGGUCUUAGCCUCCUUCCCAGACUACUUGACCUAGAGUUUCCUCUCAUCAGUGCCCCUUUUAUUUUCUUCAGAACAGAUAUAACACUCAAAAAUUAUUUUUUCCUAUACUCAGUUUUGUAAUCCAUGCACCCACCUCCAUUCCUUCAACAUGUAUUAAAAUGGAAGGUCCACAAGGGCACAGACCCCUCCUUCAUUUUUAUUCAAGACAUGGUGAAUGAAGAUUGAGAUUACACGGGCAAGCUCUUUCUUCCAAAUAAUGUCCUGAAAUAGUAACAAGUAAAAUCUUAAGGGUCUGCUCCUCGGUCAGAUUCAAGUUCAAAAUCUAGCUCUGGGGAGUUCCCGUCGUGGCUCAGCAGAAACGAACGAAUCUGACCAGCAUCCAUGAGGACGCAGGUCUGAUCCCUGGCCUCGCUCAGUGGGUUAAGUAAGGAUCCAGUGUUGCCGUGAGCUGUAGUGUAGGUCCCAGACACGGCUGGGAUCCCGUGUUGCUGUGGCUGUGGAGUAGGCCAGCGGCUACAGCUCCAGUUUGACCCCUAGCCUGGGAACCUCUAUAUGCUGUGGGUGAGGUCCUAAAAAGACAAAAGACAAAAAAAAAAAAAUCUAGCUCUGCGAUUCACCAGCUGUAAACUCUGGCAAGUUGUUUUCUGGCCCUCAAUUUCCACAUCUAUAAAAUGGAGACAAUACCUAUCCCAUACUGUUUGAGAAGAAAGUGAGAAAAUAAUAUGAUUACAUAGAACACAAUACACCUCAUAAACUGGUACACAAGUUUGGAAAGAAAGUUUGGGCAUUAACUUCUCAAGUUCAAAAUAUGUAUGCCUUUUAAUCCAGAGAUUCUAUUCCUAGAUAGAGCCUUAUAGAUAAACAAUACUUAAAUGAAGUAGGACACAUAUAAAAAUGCUCAUAUCAGCAUUGUUUAAAAUUGCCAAGAAUGAGAAACAAUUCCAAAUAUCCAAAACUGCAGAAUAAAUUGUAGCAUUCCAUACAAUUGAAGAUAAUUAGCAAUACAAACAAAUAUAUUAUAAAUACACAAACAUGAUAGCAAAAGAUGACAGAUAAACAUACUGUAUGACUCCAUAUAAAGUUUUAAAGCAGGCAACACUAGACUAGGAGUCUUCAGGAGGACACAAAGGUGACAAAAGCCAUUUUAAGAAAAAGACCAAGACCAAGACCCAAAGAAAGAAGUCAGGACAGUAGCUACUUUUGGUGCAGAGGAUUUACACAGAGGGUUUCUGGGGCACCAGCAAUGUUGUAUUCCUUGAUCUGGGUAGUGAUAACUGAUUAAGUUAUACAUUUAGGCUUUACGUUUUUUCCUCUGCUAUAACCCACAACUUUAAAAAGACUUUUAAAAGAUCAAAUAAGAAAAGGUAGGAGUUCCCAUUGUGGCUCAGAAGAAAUGAACCCAGCCAGUAUACAUGAGGACUCAGGUUUGAUCCCUGGCCUCAAUCCGUGAGUUAAGGAUCCAUCAUUGCCAUGAGGUGUAGGUUGCAUACGUGGCCCAGAUCCCCCGUUGCUCUGACUGUGGCAUAGCCCUGCAGCUGUAGCUCCAAUUCAACUCCUAGCCUGAGAACUUCCAUAUGCCUCAGGUAGAGCCCUAAAAAAGACCAAAAAAAAAGGAAAGUAAGUGUAUGAAGUGCUUGGAACACUGACAUGAACUAGUUAAGUGCUUGAUAAAUUUUGGCUAUUAUUAUAAACAAUAAAGAAAUGAUCUAUUAUUGCAACUGCCCACAAGGUGAAUUUAAAUAAGUGGAUGUUGAAUAAAUACUGCAAACCAUUAAUUUUUAAUCUAUAUUCUACUACAUCACUUCUUAUAGUUUGAUACUGGCAGAGUUUAAGGUUACUUCUGAAAAAAAUAAACAAAUAUAGUGACCUAUACAUACAAAUACCACAUCUCAGUUCUGAAUGGCGGUAAAGGAUUUAUAACCAACCCCGUCAGCAAGUCAACAGGCUACAGAGUGAAGACCCUGGUAUGGAGGACCAGUUAUCUCACUAUGUGAAAUAUUAUGCAACUCCUCUCACACUAAAAACGUACUCAACAAAUGCGAGCUUCCUCUCUUUGCUGUUUGCUUUAGUGGCAACUGAUAAGCACUUUACAGCAAGGCUAGCGAGGGUUACUGUUAGACUGCACAGUAGAAGAAUAGAAGCAAAAUUUCUGGGCCCAGGUUUACUGAAGCAAAUUAAGUCACUGUUAAUGACAGCCAGAGGCAUGGGGAAUCUUUACUUCAGGGCACAGUUAAUAUCAAAGAACUCAUUGCUUUGUUUAAAAGCAGCUUAUUAUUGAUUUAAAAAAACAAAAAUUACACUUCAAAAAAGUUAAUAUUCACCCCAAAAUGCUAUUUAAAUCCUAAACAAGCUUCUGAAUGAAAGUAUUCAUAAAGAUAUCUUAUACAUAAAAUUUUACCAUACAGUUUAAUAGCAUUUCUUUAAUACUAAAGUAAACUAAAAUGUUAAAUUAAUAUUAUAAAAUAUAGCCAAUUCAGUAACUAAAAAUGGAUGCAUACAUAUGCAAAUCUAGAUGCCAAAGUGGCAGGGUUUAUUCUAACCAUUUUUUCCAUCAAGCAGUAGCCAAUUAUAUCAUCCCAAAGCUACCAACAUUUCCUAUCCGUGCUGUCGGUGAUUGGUGUAUUCAGUGUAAUGCUGCCCAUACAGACUACUCUCUCAAAACAAAGUAUUGUUUUACAGGAAUCCAAUCUGCUCUGGUUAACAAUGGUCUAUUAAUAUCCAGUGGCAUUAAUGCAAAGCUCAAAACUCAAGUGCCACAGAUAAAAGUGGAUGGUGUGACCAUGUGACUUUACAAUGAACCAAGUCAGAACUGCUGAUUGCAGACAAAGAAUUCAGUCCUCUACCUAGCCUAUCAUGUUCUUUACUAACCAUUCAAGACUGAGUUACAACAAAAUGCAUUAAGAAUAAUAUAACUUAAUGCAUCACUUCAAAUCCCACACAACUUGCUAAUGUCAACAAACAGCUUAAAACAUUUUAAUUCAAGUUACCAGAAAGCUUAUACCUUCCAAUAUUACUUAAUAAUACAACAGUGUCAUCUACACUUCAAACUGUUUUUUUAAACUGUUAUUUUUAAAAUAAGAACCAAAAGUUGUCAAGAGUAUAAAUAUAUGACUUAGUGACAACAUAAAUGGAUAAAGUAUUAGAAUAGCAAUAUACACGAUGAAUUAUUUGGUAACAAAAACUUCAUUUAGUGCAUGACAAGCGCUUGGCAUUUCAUGUAUUUCUCACAUGAAUAUGUGCUAUUUCUCAAUCAGAAUUAACAUCUUUACCAUUUUCUACAGAAGGAAACAGGAUCUGAGGUGGCAAAUCCUUUUUCUAAAGGUUACAUAAUUAUUAAGUGGAAAGGCCAAGAUUUAAAUCCUUCACACCUAAACUACCUAUGUAUGGAAGAAAACUAAGACCAAAAGAAAAAAGCAAAAUCAGAAAGGAAAUGCUUUUGACAGAUGGAACUGCACUCAGUUUGCUGUCUUUUUAAACUGAGAACUUAAAGCUUAAAGUGAAGCCUUCCUAGUUUGAACUAUCAGAGAACAGAGCUCAAGAGCCAGAAGAGGAAGUGGAAACUAGGUGGGAAUCUCUAGAAAAAAAUAGAAUGGUAUCAAGGGUAAGCCCUAAAUCUCAGGUGACCACAUUACAUAGGUAUAUGGGUGGAUCCCCAACACCCACCCACACACACCCAACAAGAGAGGCUUACAAAGUAGCAGCUGAAAAGCACAGAACUCAGAGGUAUCAGCUACUGCAGUGGGGAGAGAACACCCAGUGUGCAGCCUGAAUCUAGACAAGUACCAGUUAGAACAAAAAAUAACACUUAGCAGAAUAUUUUUAAAAACAACAACUAUCCACAGUUACCAUAAUGUAUGAUCCCUAUGCUCAGUCUUUAGCCUAAAAUAUUAUUAGAUAGGAGAGUAUAAUAUAUAAUUAAGAAAAAAAAAAACAGGAGUUCCCGUCGUGGCACAGUGGUUAACGAAUCCGACUAGGAACCAUGAGGUUGCGGGUUUGGUCCCUGGCCUUGCUCAGUGGGUUAACGAGGCGGCGUUGCUGUGAGCUGUGGUGUAGGUUGCAGACAGAGCUCGGAUCCUGCGUUGCUGUGGCUCUGGUGUAGGCUGGUGGCUACAGCUCGGAUUAGACCCCUAGCCUGGGAACCUCCAUGUGCUGCAGGAGCGGCCCAAGAAAU
Molecule: long non-coding RNA, 5715 nt
Filed under: Sus scrofa (pig)
Lineage: Eukaryota; Metazoa; Chordata; Mammalia; Artiodactyla; Suidae
Description: lncRNA (ENSSSCG00055017142.1)
Source: RNAcentral